CAAAUUUGCAACAGGCGAUCGAUCAAAACGGAUAUACGAUCUGCAAACGUUCUCGGUGACGUAAAACCCUAGUCUCGCUGCUCUUCAGCAUACUUUUUGAUGGUUUGGAGGCCUCCAGUUCUGGAUAGAGCGAGGGAUGACGAUCAUAAUUGGAGGGUUCGUCUCCCACCUGGAUCACGCCUCACCAUCGUUACCAGAAUAGCGGAAACGAUAGAUAGGUGCAUUUCGUUCUCUGUGCCAGUUAAUGAAUUGAGGAGAAUUGCAGCUAGAUUCGAGGAAAGGGUUUACAGGAACGCUGUUGAUCAGAGGCAUUGGAAUCCGCAUGUACCCCCUCCUCCUCCCUCCUUCCAUAGAUUGUGAAAGAAGAGAUUGUUGGUGAUAAUCGAGCUUUAUCUUGCAAAUCUUGCAAAAUGCAGGUUUUGGAUUUUGGGAUUGACCCAAUUCUAACUUUCCCGUGGUUGACGUUCAACCACGACGACUUCUGAUCAAACUUCAUCCCUUGAUCCAAUGUGUUUCAGAUUGAUUACCUUCGGAUAAUAGCCACAAGGAUGGUGAUUAUGGAGACAAAGUACCUGAGUUCUGCAGACAGCUGUGCACCCUCCAAAUCUUGAUGUAAAAUUGGAAUGGUUACUUGUAUAAGGGGUUAAUCUCCUAAACCCUUAAAGCUCUUUUUUUUAUCUUGAAAUGUUGGUGGCAUAUUUGAAGUGUUUUGAGUAUUGUUUGUUACAUGAUCCUAAAGGAGGAGGGUCAAGCUAAUAAUGGUGAGAGAGACAUGUUGGGAAAUAACCACAAGUCAAUGCUUAAAAAAGAAAAUAAAUAAAUGAGGAAUUUGGGUUUGCA
Molecule: RNA transcript, 840 nt
Organism: Tarenaya hassleriana
Lineage: Eukaryota; Viridiplantae; Streptophyta; Magnoliopsida; Brassicales; Cleomaceae
Gene name: mediator of RNA polymerase II transcription subunit 15a
Exons: 4
Source: RefSeq, a predicted model, not a curated record